Molecule: long non-coding RNA, 271 nt
Organism: Grus americana (Whooping crane)
Lineage: Eukaryota; Metazoa; Chordata; Aves; Gruiformes; Gruidae
Exons: 3
Source: RefSeq, a predicted model, not a curated record
GUCCAUAUGGGUGCAAGGGGUAUUCACUCAUCUCUUUGUAUGCUGGCAGUACCAAACCGAAGUUUAGCACUGUGCAGCUGAGAUUUUGUGCAGCCAGACGAUACAUGAGAAAGUGGAGAUGCCAGCACUGGACAAGAUGGUCUUGGAAGAAAGGUCAAGUGCUUCCUCACUUAAAAGGGGCUACCUCUCCUGGGAAUGAGUGAACAUCCAGAAUAGUCACUGUUGGAAGAUGCCCAGGAUCUGGAAUGACGAGCAUGGUACAAAACUGAAG